CUCUCCAAAACAACAUACAUUUUGGAUGUUCCGCGGCGUAUAGUAGAGAAAACCCCGUCCGGGGCAUUUCGGAUUGAUGAAAAUAUUUUUUGAGUUGUCACCCCAUUUCAUCCCCCCACCACUCCUCAUUACGUAACGAUUAAUUUUACUUUUUUUACAUCCCUACCGCCUUCCCACAAUGCUCUGUAAUACUUGCAUGGCUAUCCCAAAAAAUUAGGUAAGGCUAAAAAUGAAAAAUUAGCAUGAAAGUAACAAAACGAUCGGGGUUGCUAUCGAAUCAGACAAAGUCGAUGCACUUCGUUUGAUUACACAUCGAACGAUAGGAUGAAAAUUUCCCCCUCUAAUCCAUGUACUGUAUUCCUUGUAUCAUUAAUUGAGUCAAAUCAUCAAUUCAAUAAUGAAGUGCUCCUUUUUUUUGUGUUACAGAUCUCUAACAUGGGCGUAUGAUGGAUGAGCCUAGGGCCAUUUUGGUCCUAUUUUUAUGUUUAUCUUCCGUUCCACUGCAGAGGAUUUCCUCCUAACUUCAACUAAGGAUGAUGUGGAGGCCUCGUUACGCGCCAUCAGGGACGUGAACGCCGGCUCGAAUGCGAAUCGGACGAGCAUGUCAUCCUCUCGGCGCCCAUCAGCACGCACCCUUACGACACGGCCCGAAAAAAGGCUGACCUCUUCAGCCUCAUCCUCAAGAAAGGGCAAUUCUCCCACCCAAGUAAGCCUGUCCUGUCCCAAAUGACACUCGAAAGCUUUUUUACACGCUGUAAGGAUUUCCUGUUUAAUCGCAAGGAUAUAUUGGAUGGAACGACUCUUCUUACUUGAGUCCCUUUAUACCAAAAGUCAAGACAACACCCCCUCAUGGAGUCAAACAAAUUGGCAGUUUUUCGUAAUCUUUGAUCGGCUCAUUCUCAAAUUCCUUGCUCCGUUCCUUCUCUCAUUCCGUUUGUUCCUUGUCGAACCCGUUAUUCCCCGGUCCAUUCUGGAUUUUAAUCUUUGCAAUCGGUGAAAAUGUAAUCUUUAUUCCCGUUAUUGUGACACUGCGGAGGCCUAAAAUAUAUGGGAACCAAUCAGAAAUUGCUUCACAUUGUCUUUACUCUCAGUAUAAUGGGACUCUAGAACGACUUUUCUUACGAAAUGUUCAUCCGUGCAUGCCGUAGUAUCGUUUUGAAGCGAGAUUUUUUUAAAAAACGCAUAUACUUUGCAGAUUGUGAAGUUAAGAGUGCAUCUCGGACUUUCUCAAUGCGCUCAUCGUGAUGAUUCAGUCAUUUCCAUAAGCUACAACUCCUCUUUCGGCUCCAGCUGAAGUUUGCAACAGACCCAUCCUGAUGUGCUAAGGAAAAACGCCGUAUGAACAUUCGAGAGUUGCCAAUUUCCUCGGAUAAAACAUGCAUUUAUGACAGUUCUGCAUUAUUUUCCUCGAAAUUUUCAAAUAUUACAGAUUAAAUCGUGAACACAAUUUUUUUGAAAAUAUUGUAUAAAAAUAUUCAAAAUUUUCCCUGUAAAUUUGACCUUUAUUGAAGGAAAUAUGGCAAAAUCUGAAGGCUCAUACGGCGUUCUUCCUUAGCACGGCAGCAUUUCAUGCACCUAAAAAUCUGGAGGGGUGGAGGGUGGAACGUGGGUUUUGGAGGGGGGAGGGGG
RNAcentral lists this long non-coding RNA (1629 nucleotides) under Bemisia tabaci. Its description in RNAcentral is "lncRNA ENSSSA3NGG001387". The record is from RNAcentral. Lineage: Eukaryota; Metazoa; Arthropoda; Insecta; Hemiptera; Aleyrodidae.